AAUUUAUAUAAAUAGCGUGCCAGAACCACAUUUAUUCCAUUCGUUUUCUCCAACUAAUUUGCGUAACUGACAUGGAAAAAACCAAGAUCCUACUGUUGAUCUGUCUGAUUUACGUCAGUGGAAUUUCUUUGGUAACUUCUCAUCCGAUGUGUACUCCUAGAGAAGUAAAUGGCAUUUGUCGCGUAUAUUGCAUAAUGGCUAAAGUACAUUUAUGCUUAAAAGUGCCGCCUUGUAUCUGCCCCAGUUAUACUGCAAAUACGACUCCGAGACUAAGACCAAGAAAGACGUAAAAAGCAAUAAAAUAUUUUUAAAUUUCUCUUUCACUAGAAAUUCCUCUUCUUACAAUUCUGUACUCAAGUUUUAUCGUUUCUUUUGUAAUUUAAUUUAGAGUUUACUUUUAUAUCUUGUUGCUAUAGUUUUAUACGGAUGUAAGCAGUUUAAUUUUUAAAUAAAUUGUUUUUAUAGAAUAUUUUCUUUUAUUAA
Long non-coding RNA from Centruroides sculpturatus (bark scorpion), 483 nucleotides. RefSeq lists it as uncharacterized. The transcript is spliced from 2 exons. NCBI's taxonomy places the organism in Eukaryota, Metazoa, Arthropoda, Arachnida, Scorpiones, Buthidae. The record is from RefSeq and is a predicted model, not a curated record.